UAAGGAAUAUUGGUCAAUGGACGCAAGUCUGAACCAGCCAUGCCGCGUGAAGGAUGAAGGUCCUCUGGAUUGUAAACUUCUUUUAUCUGGGACGAAAACGGGAUUUUUAUCUCAAUUGACGGUACCAGAGGAAUAAGCACCGGCUAACUCCGUGCCAGCAGCCGCGGUAAUACGGAGGGUGCGAGCGUUAUCCGGAUUUACUGGGUUUAAAGGGUGCGUAGGUGGGCUUAUAAGUCAGUGGUGAAAUCUCCGGGCUUAACCCGGAAACUGCCGUUGAUACUAUUUGUCUUGAAUAGUGUGGAGGUAAGCGGAAUAUGUCAUAUAGCGGUGAAAUGCUUAGAUAUGACAUAGAACACCAAUUGCGAAGGCAGCUUACUACACAAUCAUUGACGCUGAGGCACGAAAGCGUGGG
RNAcentral lists this ribosomal RNA (412 nucleotides) under uncultured bacterium. RNAcentral describes it as "bacterial SSU rRNA". It matches the Rfam family "Bacterial small subunit ribosomal RNA", at positions 355 to 765 of the family's 1533-position model. The record is from RNAcentral.